RNAcentral lists this ribosomal RNA (488 nucleotides) under uncultured bacterium. RNAcentral describes it as "bacterial SSU rRNA". It matches the Rfam family "Bacterial small subunit ribosomal RNA", at positions 29 to 526 of the family's 1533-position model. The record is from RNAcentral.
AACGAACGCUAGCGGGAUGCCUCAAACAUGCAAGUCGAACGCGAAAGUCCCUUCGGGGGCAAGUAGAGUGGCGCACGGGUGCGUAACACGUAGCUAACGUACCCCCUUGCUGGGGAUAACCCCGGGAAACCGGGGCUAAUACCGAAUAGUCUGAACACCUCUGCGGGGGAGUUCGGUAAAGCCUUCGGGCGCGAGGGGAGCGGGCUGCGGCCCAUUAGCUUGAUGGUGGGGUAACGGCCUACCAUGGCGACGAUGGGUAGCUGGUCUGAGAGGAUGAUCAGUCACACUGGAACUGAAACACGGUCCAGACUCCCACGGGAGGCAGCAGUUGGGAAUAUUGGACAAUGGGGGAAACCCUGAUCCAGCAAUCCCGCGUGAGUGAUGAAGGCCUUCGGGUCGUAAAGCUCUUUCAGCAGGGAAGAAGGGUAACUUGACGGUACCUGCAGAAGAAGCACCGGCUAACUCCGUGCCAGCCGCCGCCGUAACAC